RNAcentral lists this ribosomal RNA (32 nucleotides) under Polyblastidium hypoleucum. Its description in RNAcentral is "Heterodermia hypoleuca partial 18S ribosomal RNA". Lineage: Eukaryota; Fungi; Ascomycota; Lecanoromycetes; Caliciales; Physciaceae. The record is from RNAcentral.
UACGCUUCGUAGGUGACCUGCGGAAGGACAUU